UUAAGCGACUAAGCGUACACGGUGGAUGCCCUGGCAGUCAGAGGCGAUGAAGGACGUGCUAAUCUGCGAUAAGCGUCGGUAAGGUGAUAUGAACCGUUAUAACCGGCGAUUUCCGAAUGGGGAAACCCAGUGUGAUUCGUCACACUAUCAUUAACUGAAUCCAUAGGUUAAUGAGGCGAACCGGGGGAACUGAAACAUCUAAGUACCCCGAGGAAAAGAAAUCAACCGAGAUUCCCCCAGUAGCGGCGAGCGAACGGGGAGNAGCCCAGAGCCUGAAUCAGUGUGUGUGUUAGUGGAAGCGUCUGGAAAGGCGCGCGAUACAGGGUGACAGCCCCGUACACAAAAAUGCACAUAUUGUGAGCUCGAUGAGUAGGGCGGGACACGUGGUAUCCUGUCUGAAUAUGGGGGGCCCAUCCUCCAAGGCUAAAUACUCCUGACUGACCGAUAGUGAACCAGUACCGUGAGGGAAAGGCGAAAAGAACCCCGGCGAGGGGAGUGAAAAAGAACCUGAAACCGUGUACGUACAAGCAGUGGGAGCACGCUUAGGCGUGUGACUGCGUACCUUUUGUAUAAUGGGUCAGCGACUUAUAUUCUGUAGCAAGGUUAACCGAAUAGGGGAGCCGAAGGGAAACCGAGUCUUAACUGGGCGUUAAGUUGCAGGGUAUAGACCCGAAACCCGGUGAUCUAGCCAUGGGCAGGUUGAAGGUUGGGUAACACUAACUGGAGGACCGAACCGACUAAUGUUGAAAAAUUAGCGGAUGACUUGUGGCUGGGGGUGAAAGGCCAAUCAAACCGGGAGAUAGCUGGUUCUCCCCGAAAGCUAUUUAGGUAGCGCCUCGUGAAUUCAUCUCCGGGGGUAGAGCACUGUUUCGGCAAGGGGGUCAUCCCGACUUACCAACCCGAUGCAAACUGCGAAUACCGGAGAAUGUUAUCACGGGAGACACACGGCGGGUGCUAACGUCCGUCGUGAAGAGGGAAACAACCCAGACCGCCAGCUAAGGUCCCAAAGUCAUGGUUAAGUGGGAAACGAUGUGGGAAGGCCCAGACAGCCAGGAUGUUGGCUUAGAAGCAGCCAUCAUUUAAAGAAAGCGUAAUAGCUCACUGGUCGAGUCGGCCUGCGCGGAAGAUGUAACGGGGCUAAACCAUGCACCGAAGCUGCGGCAGCGACGCUUAUGCGUUGUUGGGUAGGGGAGCGUUCUGUAAGCCUGCGAAGGUGUGCUGUGAGGCAUGCUGGAGGUAUCAGAAGUGCGAAUGCUGACAUAAGUAACGAUAAAGCGGGUGAAAAGCCCGCUCGCCGGAAGACCAAGGGUUCCUGUCCAACGUUAAUCGGGGCAGGGUGAGUCGACCCCUAAGGCGAGGCCGAAAGGCGUAGUCGAUGGGAAACAGGUUAAUAUUCCUGUACUUGGUGUUACUGCGAAGGGGGGACGGAGAAGGCUAUGUUGGCCGGGCGACGGUUGUCCCGGUUUAAGCGUGUAGGCUGGUUUUCCAGGCAAAUCCGGAAAAUCAAGGCUGAGGCGUGAUGACGAGGCACUACGGUGCUGAAGCAACAAAUGCCCUGCUUCCAGGAAAAGCCUCUAAGCAUCAGGUAACAUCAAAUCGUACCCCAAACCGACACAGGUGGUCAGGUAGAGAAUACCAAGGCGCUUGAGAGAACUCGGGUGAAGGAACUAGGCAAAAUGGUGCCGUAACUUCGGGAGAAGGCACGCUGAUAUGUAGGUGAAGUCCCUUGCGGAUGGAGCUGAAAUCAGUCGAAGAUACCAGCUGGCUGCAACUGUUUAUUAAAAACACAGCACUGUGCAAACACGAAAGUGGACGUAUACGGUGUGACGCCUGCCCGGUGCCGGAAGGUUAAUUGAUGGGGUCAGCGCAAGCGAAGCUCUUGAUCGAAGCCCCGGUAAACGGCGGCCGUAACUAUAACGGUCCUAAGGUAGCGAAAUUCCUUGUCGGGUAAGUUCCGACCUGCACGAAUGGCGUAAUGAUGGCCAGGCUGUCUCCACCCGAGACUCAGUGAAAUUGAACUCGCUGUGAAGAUGCAGUGUACCCGCGGCAAGACGGAAAGACCCCGUGAACCUUUACUAUAGCUUGACACUGAACAUUGAGCCUUGAUGUGUAGGAUAGGUGGGAGGCUUUGAAGUGUGGACGCCAGUCUGCAUGGAGCCGGCCUUGAAAUACCACCCUUUAAUGUUUGAUGUUCUAACGUGGACCCGUGAUCCGGGUUGCGGACAGUGUCUGGUGGGUAGUUUGACUGGGGCGGUCUCCUCCUAAAGAGUAACGGAGGAGCACGAAGGUUGGCUAAUCCUGGUCGGACAUCAGGAGGUUAGUGCAAUGGCAUAAGCCAGCUUGACUGCGAGCGUGACGGCGCGAGCAGGUGCGAAAGCAGGUCAUAGUGAUCCGGUGGUUCUGAAUGGAAGGGCCAUCGCUCAACGGAUAAAAGGUACUCCGGGGAUAACAGGCUGAUACCGCCCAAGAGUUCAUAUCGACGGCGGUGUUUGGCACCUCGAUGUCGGCUCAUCACAUCCUGGGGCUGAAGUAGGUCCCAAGGGUAUGGCUGUUCGCCAUUUAAAGUGGUACGCGAGCUGGGUUUAGAACGUCGUGAGACAGUUCGGUCCCUAUCUGCCGUGGGCGCUGGAGAACUGAGGGGGGCUGCUCCUAGUACGAGAGGACCGGAGUGGACGCAUCACUGGUGUUCGGGUUGUCAUGCCAAUGGCACUGCCCGGUAGCUAAAUGCGGAAGAGAUAAGUGCUGAAAGCAUCUAAGCACGAAACUUGCCCCGAGAUGAGUUCUCCCUGACCCUUUAAGGGUCCUGAAGGAACGUUGAAGACGACGACGUUGAUAGGCCGGGUGUGUAAGCGCAGCGAUGCGUUGAGCUAACCGGUACUAAUGAACCGUGAGGCUUAACCUU
RNAcentral lists this ribosomal RNA (2902 nucleotides) under Shigella sonnei. RNAcentral describes it as "bacterial LSU rRNA". It matches the Rfam family "Bacterial large subunit ribosomal RNA". The record is from RNAcentral. Lineage: Bacteria; Pseudomonadati; Pseudomonadota; Gammaproteobacteria; Enterobacterales; Enterobacteriaceae.